GAGCACGUAGGUGGGUUUGUAAGUCAGAUGUGAAAGCCUCCUGUUCAACGGGAGAAUUGCAUCUGAAACUACUGAUCUUGAGUGUAGGAGGGGAGAAUGGAACUUCUGGUGGAGCGGUGAAAUGCGUAGAUAUCAGAAGGAACGCCGGCGGCGAAAGCGAUUCUCUGGCCUAUUACUGACACUCAGUGUGCGAAAGCUAGGGGAGCAAACGGGAUUAGAUACCCCGGUAGUCCUAGCCGUAAACGAUGGGCACUAAGUAGAGGGGUU
RNAcentral lists this ribosomal RNA (267 nucleotides) under uncultured Planctomycetota bacterium. RNAcentral's name for it is "uncultured planctomycete partial 16S ribosomal RNA". It matches the Rfam family "Bacterial small subunit ribosomal RNA", at positions 565 to 830 of the family's 1533-position model. RNAcentral also lists the same sequence under 1 other name. Lineage: Bacteria; Pseudomonadati; Planctomycetota. The record is from RNAcentral.